UUUUUUUUUCCUUCCAGAUGAAAAAAUAUUUUUUAAUAGCCAAUAAAUUAGAAAGGAAAAAAAAGCUUGUUAGACAUAUUUUGUUUCUUUUUUACUACAUUCAAUAAUUUGUUUAUUACAUCAUAUAAUCAAUUCAAAAUUAUCAAGGAAAAAAAAUUACUGAUUGUUUGGAACAGUAUUAAUAUAAUUAAUUGUAGAGGUUAAAAAAACUAUUAAGCAAUUAAAAUAAUUUAAAGUUUUUGGUUAAAUACUUAUUGCAUCUAAUAUUUGAAACAUUUUAGGGGUGAGGGGAAGGGCAAAGCAUGUUUAUGUAGGGUGGGUUGAAACCAAUAAAUGAUGCUAUGUGGGGUGGGGCGGAGUGGGUUAUAAUUUUAGCGGGUUUAUGCGGGUUUGCCCGCAAUCACCCCACCCCAUUGCCCUCCCUAAUUUAGAUUAAACUGAAAAAUAAAAUUAAUUUUUAAUUUGGAUUGGUUUUUUAGUUUUUUGGUUUGGUUUUGGAUUAAUAAUUUAGUUUUUUGAUUUGGUUUUAGAUUUAGAAAAAUAUAAACCGAAGACUCGAAAAAAAUGAAUCAUAUAUAUAUACCACCUUCGUUCCUUUUAGUUAUUGUCUUUCAUUAUGAUUUAGUUUAGAUUUUAUGUUUGGAUAUCUAUAAUUAGUAUAAUUUUAAUUAUUAUGUUUUACGUUUUACUUGUGCUUUAUAUUAAAAAUCUAAACCGAAUAGUAUAAAACUAAACCAAAAAUUAGUCACUUUAUAUUAAAGGCGAAAAAAAUCAUCUAGAGUUAUAAAUUAUCCAAAAGUUUAGGUUAUUGUUUGAUUGUUAAUGUCAAAUUUCAAUAUGUAUAUUAAAAGUUUGAUCUACCUAUAUUUAUUGGUGCUGAUAUAUUCAAAUUCUUUUAAUAACAUUUUAUUUAAGUUUUUUUUUUUAAUUUGAAACGUAAUAUGAUAUUUUAAUUUUGGGAUAAGGGUCUAAAAAAUACCCAACUUUGGUCAAAUUUGUUGUUGCGAUACUAAAUUUUCAUGAGGACCUAUUACCUCCCUAGACUAUUUAAUACCGUAUUUUAAAUAUAUAUAUUUGCCACGUGGACAUAAAAAAUAAUGCAAAAUUAUAAAUAGUAAUGUGUCCACGUGGGCACAUAUAUACCUUUAAAAUACACUAUUAAAUAGUUUAGGGGUAAAAAAUACACUAUUAAAUAGUCUAGAGAGGCAAUAGGUUCUCAUGAAAGUUUAGUAUCGCAACAGCAAAUUCGACCAAAGUUGGGGUAUUUUUCAGACCCUUAUCCCUUUAAUUUUCUUCAUUAAAUCAGGUAUGGAUGAGUUGCUUAAAUAAUUUAUUUGACAAUAUCGAUAGAGUUAAUAUACAUCAAAUUGAUGUAUUAUAUAUUUAAAUCACCAAUUUCAAUAUAUAUAUAUAUAUUAUUGUAUAUUUAAAGUUUGAACUACCUAUAUUUAUUGAUGCUGAUAUAUUCAAAUUCUUUUAACAACAUUUUAUUUAAGCUUUUUUUAUUUGAAACGUACUAUGAUAUUUAAUUUACUUCAUGAAAUCUGGUAUAUAUGAGGUGCUGAAAUAAUUUAUUUGACAAUAUCGAUAGAGUUAAUAUACAUCAAAUUGAUGUAUUAUAUAUUUAAAUCACCAAUUUCAAUUUUUAUUUAUAUAUAAAUAUAUAUAUAUAUAUAUAUAUAUUUAUUUAUUUAUUUAUUUGAAUCAUACUAUUUUAUAGUAACAAAAUAAGAAGGAAAAGAAAAAGAAUGAAUAAUAUUCUUAUUUAAAAUUAGGAAAAUGGUCUGAAAUAUAUCCGAACUUUGAUCGAAAUUGCAGUAACGAUACCAAACUUUGGAAAUGACCUUUUAUCCCCCUACACUAUUUAAUAGUGUAUUUUAAAGGUAUAUAUAUGUCCACGUGGACAUCAUAAAUAUUGCAUAAUUAUAAAUAAUAACGUGUCCACGUGGGCACAUAUAUCUUUUAAAUACACUAUUAAAUAGUGCAGGGGGUAAAAGGUCAUCCAUAAAGUUUGGUAUCGUAACAGUAAUUUCGAUCAUAGUUGAAGUAUUUUUCAGACCCUUUUUCCUUUAAAAUUUAUCUAAUUAAUUCAUUUACAAGUUACCACUUUUGAAUAUAUAUAUAUAAACAAUUAAAUAGAUUGCGCAUGAAAUGCUCAUUUUUUUCUUUAAGAGGAAUGGAUCUAAUUAAUCUAAUUUUGCACUACAAAAAUUUAUUUUGUAUUACGACAUUUGUAACUUUUAUGGACUUUGUAUCACAAAGUUUUGAGUCACAAUAUUUGGAUUCCGUUUGAAGUUUUAUAUUUCAAGUGAUUUUAAGCUAAAUUAAUUUUUUAACAUUUUUUAAGUGUUUGAAUAAGCUAAAAAUAUUGUUAUAAACACUUAGUUUUAAGCUAAAAUGUUAAAAAUAAGUAAAAAAUAAUUAUAAAUUAGAAUUUCUAACUUAUGACUUUUAGCUUAUAAAUUAAAAUGAAAAGUUAAUUCAAAUAAACUCUAAUAUCCAUUGUUAUUCAAUUGAAAACUUCUGUUUCCUAGUUAACCACUUCAUUACCUAUCAGAAAAAAUGUGUUGGUACUUUAGUGUGUGCUUCUACAAAAAUCUACAUAUAAUGCGUCAACUAACAUAUUUUGAGAGACAAAAACAUAAAUCGUUAUAGAAUUUGCACUAUUUUUCUCUUAAAUUAUGUAUAAUUCUUUUUUAGAGAAAUCAUAAUCGCUAACAACAGUAAUAUCUAGUAUAAUCUCAUUUAUGAGAUAUAUGAAAGUAGUAUGUAUGAAAUACUAUUCCUACCUUGUGAGGAUAGAAAAAUUACUUUUGAAAAAAUAUGAGAAAAAUACAAUCAUAAAGAAAUCAUUGAAAAUAAGUUCAUACAAGGAAAAGUUUAAAAAUACAUUCUCAUGCUAUUAGUAUUUGCAUCAAAAUAAUGAAGAACAUAUUGCAUACAUGAUGUGUAUCUUUGAUAUACACUUACAAGUUUUAUUACUUGAUUAUAUUUGAUUAAUAUGUAUUUUAACUUAAAUUUAUUAUUCAACUGUAAUAAACUUAUAUUAUUGUUAAGAUGUCGAAUUUUAAUUGGUAACGAGUUUUAAUUUUUUUUUGUUCAUAUGAUUAGAUCAACCUUUUUUGACCGUUGAUAACCUUCUUCCACAUAUAUAAAUUUGUUUAUAUGUGUGUUAAAAUUUAUGUAAAUCAAUAUUUAUAUGUUGAUUCUCAUUUGUUAUGGAAUUGAAUAAAUAUGUUUUUGAUCCGUUAGUAAGGCUCUUUACUAAAGAAAAUAGGAUCUUCGAUCGGAGUAUUGGGAAGUUACGAUUGCAAAGGGGAUGAAUUAAAGACGACUUCUCUCACGAGGUACGGUAUGGAGCUAAUCCAGAUGCUCCGCCAGCCAUUCCUCAUACUAAACAGAUUAAGGCGAUGUGGAUCUAGCCUUGCGAUUGAGACUGUCGAGCCUAACAACCCUCUUCUAUUUUUCUUAGAGGGAUUUCUCACUCUUGAUUAUGAAAAUUACUUCAGCUUUAAAAAUCUAAAUAGUGUUUUAAAAAACUCUGUUGGGACUCGCCUCGGGGAUCGCCCUGGGGCGGGACUCUAGCAAAACUCCCCGAGACUCAAGUGUGGGGCUUAGUUCUAUAAGACUUACGCCCUAAGCGCUCGACUGUACGCCCUAAGCACGCCCAACGCUCUGGGCUCGCCUAUCAGAUCUUAGACAAAUUAUGAGUUAAAAUAUUUAGUUAACAUUGUUGACCAUCAUUAUUCCUGAAUAAAUGAAUGAUACUUCAUAUUUUUUUAAUCUAUAGAGAUAAGAUAAUUGAGAGCAGUGUUUUCAAAAAUAUUUUUGGAGCGAGUCUCGGGGUCGGGCGUACUAAAAAUGCUCCGGGGUGUAAAUUAAAGACAUAGAUCCAUAAGGUGUAGGUUCUAAAAUUUGAGGUGUAAGCCUCGAGCGUAAAAAUGUAAGUCCUGCUGGGAGUAAUAACAUAGGUCCAGGCAUUUUUAAUUUAUUUUUUAAACCUUUUUUGCUUUAAAUCAUAUUUUUUUUAUUAUUGGUGUAAUGAUAUUUCUCAAAUAGUAAUUAUAAUAUUUUUUUUGCUUCAUUAUUGAUUAUUAAUACUUAUCUCAAAUAAAAAUCAUAAUAUAAUUUCUAUAUAUUAUAGGUUAUUUAUAAAAUUUAGGGAUAAUGGUCUGAAAAAUAACUCAACUUUGGUCGGAUUUGCUGUUGCGAUACUAAACUUUCAUGAGGACCUAUUACCUCCCUAGAUUAUUUAAUACCGUAUUUUAAACAUAUAUAUUUGCCCACAUGGACAUAAAAAAUAAUGCAAAAUUAUAAAUAGUAAUGUGUCCACGUUGACACAUAUAUACCUUUAAAAUACACUAUUAAAUAGUUNNNNNNNNNNNNNNNNNNNNNNNNNNNNNNNNNNNNNNNNNNNNNNNNNNNNNNNNNNNNNNNNNNNNNNNNNNNNNNNNNNNNNNNNNNNNNNNNNNNNNNNNNNNNNNNNNNNNNNNNNNNNNNNNNNNNNNNNNNNNNNNNNNNNNNNNNNNNNNNNNNNNNNNNNNNNNNNNNNNNNNNNNNNNNNNNNNNNNNNNNNNNNNNNNNNNNNNNNNNNNNNNNNNNNNNNNNNNNNNNNNNNNNNNNNNNNNNNNNNNNNNNNNNNNNNNNNNNNNNNNNNNNNNNNNNNNNNNNNNNNNNNNNNNNNNNNNNNNNNNNNNNNNNNNNNNNNNNNNNNNNNNNNNNNNNNNNNNNNNNNNNNNNNNNNNNNNNNNNNNNNNNNNNNNNNNNNNNNNNNNNNNNNNNNNNNNNNNNNNNNNNNNNNNNNNNNNNNNNNNNNNNNNNNNNNNNNNNNNNNNNNNNNNNNNNNNNNNNNNNNNNNNNNNNNNNNNNNNNNNNNNNNNNNNNNNNNNNNNNNNNNNNNNNNNNNNNNNNNNNNNNNNNNNNNNNNAUGAAAGUUUAGUAUCGCAACAGCAAAUCCGACCAAAGUUGAGGUAUUUUUCAAACCCUUAUCCCUAAAAUUUAUUUGUAAAAUCAUUGAAAGGUUUACUUUUGCUUAUUUUAUUAGUAAUAAAACUAUAAAAUUGAAUAUACAUGAGACUACGCCCCGUAAAUCUAUGGGACUUACGCCUCGUUUCUCGAGACUUACGUCUCUCCCCGUACUAUAUAAAACGCCUCGCCUUAUGCCCCCGCAUUUUAAAACACUAGAUCCAAUUUUAUCUUCACUUAUAAAUAAUAAAAUAAAAUAGUAAUUCACACUUACAAAACAUUAUUGUACUAUGAAAAUCUCCAAAGAUAUUGCAUGUUUGCAUUAUUCAUCAUAUCUUUUGUCUGUUAGGCGUUAAAUACUGAUCAAUCUAAUAUAUUUGUUUGUUCAUAAUGGUCUCAACUCCAUACGAUUUUAUAACUAGGCGUAUUGAAAAAAACAAUUUGAAACUCUCCCAUUGUGAGGUAAACUAAUAACUAAUACUAGCUAUAUCACUUUUUUGUAGUCUUUGCAAUAUCAAUUCUUUAUGAAUUUAUUUACUUUUGUAUGAUCGUCACAAUGUUAUGUUUUUAUUAUUUUCAGUUCCUUGUACAAAUAAAAAUCAAAGAUAGUAUUUUGUUUCAACUAUAUUAGUAUAUUAAAUAUCUAAUUCCAUACAUUUUUGAUGAUUUGAACAUACAAUUUCAAAAUUGAAGAUAAACAAUUCUUAAUUUCUUAUUACAUCAUUCGAAUAAUUUAUUAUUAUUUUUAAAUAGAGAUUUGAAACUCAAAGCUCCUUUUAUUUUCCAACUAACUAAUUAUAUACAUAAUCUGGCCCAAUAAAAAAUUCGAUCCAUUAGAAAAUAUAUAUAUAGAAGUCUGAAGUUGUUGAGCAACAAUGUUUGUCAAAAAAUAUCAUCAGAAAAAUAUGAAGAGACGUCAGUGAUCAUUGCUAUCUUCAGUUAAUCCGACUCCUCCACAGAGCUCUUCUACUUCAUAUAAACAAAGAAUCUCACAUAAACACUUUGUAGUUAAUCCAUGAGAUGACACUAUUUCAACUUCAUCCUUCAAGUUAAGUAUUUUAUUAGUUAUUAUUAAUUGAUUAUGUAAAGAAUAUAUUAAGUUAUUGAGAUGAUCAAGCUACAUCCUUAGUAUAAAAGUUACUCACCCUUGAUACACGUAACUUCAAUUAUUCUCAAGUCAUUUUUGUGCUUCUUUUUUAAUCAAUUGAAUCCUAUAUUAUUUGGAUAUGCAAAAUAAGUAUUACUAAUCAUCUUGCUGUUUUGGUAGCUCCUUCAGAAAAGACUAAUCCCAUUUUGCGUGUUGAUAAGAAUGGAGUAGUAGUUACUAGAUUUAUUUCUUUAUCUACUUGUACUAAACUAGCAACCUUAGUGUGAUGGAUAACAUAAAUAUUAUUAGAGAUGCUAGCAAUAUAUGUAGUUACUACCACUGAUGCUUCUAACAUUAUUGCUGUUAGAAAUGCUAAUGUAGAACUAUUUCAAUUCAUCUUAUAAUUAUAAUAUCCUAAAGUUAUCUAAUAAUACUAUUCCUAUUUACAAAAAAAAUUGAAUGUGUCAAAAUAAGCUAAGUCGAUAAAUAAGUGAGUCAUUGAUUCACCCUCAAGUUACUUGGAUGAAAUAAAUUAAAUUGAACUGGACUAAAAAUUACAACAUAAUCCAAUCUACUAAAUUUCUUACUAAAUUUUCAAUUCUUUCCUUUUUUUCCUCACCCAAUAAAUUUUCAUCCCUCUUAUAUUACGACUUUAUAUAACAUUUCAAAUAUUUUUUAAAUUCAUUUUAUAACAUAUGGAAUAAAAUAAAUUACAAAUUAAAUUGAACUGGACUAAAAACUACAACAUAAUUCAAUCUACAAAUUUCUUACUAGAUUUUCAAUUCUUUCCUUUUUUCUCACCUAAUAAAUUUCUAUCCGUCUUAUAUUAUGACUUUAUAUAUCAUUUCAAUUAUUUUUUAAAUUCUUUUUAUAACAUAUAAAAUAAAAAAAUAUUAAAACAAAUGAUUAAUAAUUACUACUCCAAAAAAAAAAAAAUCCUAAAAAUUGCCACCCCAGCAUUUUGUCCUUUUUUCCCCCACUAAAGUCGAUUUUCUCCCCAAAAAGCUCCAAAGCUCACUAAACAGUACAUCGCCUUCCCACCUACCUACCCCCGUAAAUCUUCAACCUCUAUUUACCCCCUACCCCCGCCCCGAGAGUGACACUAUCCAUACGUAACUACCUAUACAUAUAUAUAAUUUAUACACUCUAUUCAUCUCCGAUCGAUUUUUUUCCGAUUCCGACGUUGCUUUCUUCGCCGGUAAGUUUCUCUAUCUGCUGUGUAUUGAUACGAGUAUAGUUAGAUAUUUAAUCUACGCAAUUGCUAGAUUUUGUAUAUGGAUAUGAAAUAGGUUUGUAUAUGCCUUCGAUUAAAUCGACGUAGGAGAAAUUAUUGAUGGGGCAUAAGAAGCGAACUGUCGCUCCUCGCUCCAAACCCUCAAGUUCACCGGCGGCGGUCUCAGAAGAUGGGUCACCGCCGUCGAUUGAUGCUGACCUAAAGCUAGUUUCAACGAUUCCUUCAAUUACGAAUGGAUCUUUGAGUAGAAACGAUGCCCUAGCUGUAAAUGAUUAUGAGAACAAUAGUUCAUCGUCUUCGGCUUCUUAUGCUUCAAUUAAGCUUGAAUGUGAGCGUGCCUUAACGUCCUUGCGACGUGGGAACCAUACUAAAGCACUGAGGUUGAUGAAGGACUUGUCUACUAAGCAUGGAAAUUCGCCUCAUUCGGCACUGAUUCACCGGGUCCAGGGCACAGUUUGUGUGAAGGUGGCUUCUAUUAUUGAUGAUCCUAAUACGAAGCAGAGGCAUUUGAGGAAUGCAAUUGAGAGUGCUAGGAAAGCAGUGUCACUGUCUCCGUACUCAGUUGAGUUUUCACAUUUUUAUGCUAAUUUGUUGUAUGAAGCAGCAAAUGACGGGAAGGAGUAUGAGGAAGUUGUGCAGGAGUGUGAUAGAGCAUUGGCAAUUGAAAACCCCAUUGAUCCUGCAAAAGAGAGCUUACAAGAGGAGAGUCAACAGAAGAUAUCCUCACCUGAAGCUCGAAUAUCUCAUAUACAUGGUGAGCUUCAUAACUUGAUUCAGAAGUCGAAUUUUGCUUCCAUUUCUACUUGGAUGAAGAAUAUAGGUACUGGGGAGGAGAAAUUCAGGUUAAUUCCAAUUAGGAGGGUGUCUGAGGACCCAAUGGAGUUGAGAUUGGUUCAGGGAAGAAGGCCAAAUGAAAUUAAGAAGGCGACUAAGACACCUGAAGAGAGGAGAAAAGAGAUUGAGGUUCGGGUAGCUGCUGCUAGGCUGUUGCAGCAGAAGUCAGAAACUGUCAAAUCACAGAAUGAUGGAGAUAAAGGUUUUGAUUCAACUGCAGGAUCGGGUCAGAGAGCAGGUGAUAGGCGGAGGAGUGGAAAUGCAAAGAAGAAUGCUUCUUCCACGGAGAGAAGGAAGUGGGUGCAGUCAUAUUGGAAUUCCAUAAGUUUGGAUGUGAAGAAAGAAUUGCUUAGAAUUAGAAUUUCAGAUCUUAAGACACAUUUUACUGUUUCUAAGGAUCAUUUGGCUAUUGAAGUACUUUCUGAUGCUCUUCCAUUUGCCGAGACCCAUAAAACAUGGGAGUUCUGGAGAUGUUGCCGGUGCAAUGAAAAUUUUUCUGAUUCUCAAUCACACGUUCAUCAUGUUGUGCAUGAUCACAUGGGAGCUUUGCUGCCUAAAAUGCAGUCAGUUUUGCCUCAAAAUGUUGAGAAUGAGUGGGCUGAGAUGCUUCUGAACUGUUCUUGGAAACCAUUAGAUAUUAAUGCGGCAGUGAAAAUGCUUGAUAAGCAAUCAAGAUAUCAAGGCCAUGGUUUUCUAGAUGAGACCUAUGGAAGAGAUGAUGGGGAGGGACCUAAGGAUGGGUAUUUGGAAGCUUUCCGCCAUGAAGACGAAUGGGACUCGUCCCCUAGAAGGAAGCAAGUAGGGGAUCGACUCAAUGUAAAUAUGGUUGAGAGCAGAAAAAAUGAUAAGAUCUCAGAUAUUGACUAUAUGGAUUGUGAUGAAGAUGGUGGUUCAAAGAUUUGUUUACUUCCUGAAGACUUGCCACUGUCUGAUGACCCUGAGCGAGCAAAGCUUCUUGAAAGAAUCCGUGCUGUGUUUGAGGCUCUUAUUAAAAAUAAAUAUCUUGCUUCAACUCACCUCAGCAAGGUUAUGCAUUAUGUGGUGGAAGAACUUCAGGGUCUUCCUUUUGGCUCUCAACUUCUUAACUACAAUAUUGAUCAAAGCCCUCUGUGCAUAUGCUUUUUGGGUCCCGAAGAACUGAAAAAGGUAUUAAAGUACUUGCAAGAACUUUCUCAUUCUUGUGGCUUAGGGAGGUACCCUGAGAAAAUUGGUGCUGUGGAUGAAACAAGCAAUGGAUGUCAUGGAAUUGACAAUCUAGAGAAAAUAGUUUUCAGUGAGGACAGCUCAUGUUUGCUGUUUGAUCAGCAUUUCCUGGAGCGCAAUCUUUCUCCCAGCUCAUAUCCUGAUGCAGUUUCUAAUGACAGAAAUACAGCAAUUUUGUCUGGUAACCAGUAUCAAGAUGGUGUUUUAGUUGACCCAGAUGCAUUACUGUCCUGGUUAUUCACUGGUCCAUCAAGUGUUGCAGCUUUGGCAUCAUGGACACGUGCAAGAGAAGAAAAAGGUCAACAAGGUAUGGAAAUUCUCCGAUUGCUUGAGAAGGAGUAUUACGACCUCCAGGGUUUGUGUGAGAGAAAAUGUGAGCACCUAAGCUACGAGGAAGCACUGCAGGCAGUAGAAGAUCUUUGCUUAGAAGAGGGUAAAAAAAGAGAAAAUGAAACAGAAUUUGUCCGACAAAGCUACGAUUCUGUCUUGAGAAAGCGACGAGAAGAACUCAUAGAUAGUGACAACGACACUACAAUUAUCAGCAAUAGGCCUGAGUUGGAUGCUAUAUCAAAUGUUCUUAAGGAAGCAGAAUCUCUCAAUGUAAAUCAAUUCGGAUUUGACGAAACUUACGGUGGUGGAACGUCUCAAUUUUGUGACUUGGAGUCUGGUGAAGAGGAUGAUUGGAGACUGAAGGACUACCUUCAUCAGGUGGACUCUAGUGUGGAAGUUGCAAUACAGAGACAGAAGGAACAUAUCUCCAUUGAGGUUGGUGGAUCAGUUAUAGUCCAAUGUUCUUUUUCUUUUUGGUUUUUCUGCAUUGUUUGAUUGUCGUUUGAUCUUACAAUUUCAUGGAUGCAGCUUAGCAAAAUUGAUGCACGAAUCAUGCGGGUGGUUACCGGGAUGCAGCAGUUGGAGUCAAAGCUUGAGCCGGCUUCUGCCCAAGAUUACCGGCGAAUUUUAGUGCCUCUAUUGAAAUCAUUUCUGCGGGUAACUGCUGUUGUGAUGUACCUAUGUUGCUAUUAUAAUCUUUUACUGCUGUUUGUGCUCCUAUCUUCUUGUAGUUUCGCCUUUCUCAUAUUUUGUUUGAUUAGGAUGAUUGUUUUUUUUUAUUCUUAGGCACACUUGGAAGACCUGGCCGAGAAGGACGCUACAGAAAAAUCUGAUGCUACAAGGGAAGCUUUUCUGGCUGAACUUGCACGUGAUUCCGAAAAGAGUUCAAGUGGGGGAAAUGAGAAGUCUAAGCAUGGCCAUGAAAAGACAAAGGACAAGAAAAAGAAACAAGAGUAUCGAAAAGCAAAAGAUUCGAAGGUUUGAGCUGUGGGUCAGAUUAUUGUUUCUGAAGCAGUUGUUUAUGUGUAUUGCUGGGUGAAGGUAUAACCUGUUUCCUCUUACCUGUGCAGCCUAACAGUGGUAACGAAUUGCAUGUGCUUCACCAUGAGACUGUGGAUCAUGUGUAUGUCUCUUCCUAGUUCCUAACAACAUAUUUCUCCAUUUACAUACCCUCUAGUUAGGCAUCUUAGCAAACCAUUUACGGCCUUUAAUAUUUUCAAGUGUAUGUUUUGGUGCAGCUCAUCUCCACUUGCUCAUGAUGGAGAUGAUCAAGAGAGUGAAAUUCCUCAAACUGGUAAUUCCUUAGAUCUACAGGAAGAGGAGUACAAACGUAUGAUUGAGCUUGAAGCCGAGGAAAGGAAGCUUGAAGAAACUUUAGAGUAUCAAAGAAGAAUUGAGAAUGAGGCUAAGCUGAAACAUCUGGCUGAGCAACAUAAGAGAACUGCAAGAACAAUUCCAGAGAAUAUGGAUGCAGCUACAAAUCCCGAGUCUUACCCGUAUCAAAAAAUGAAUCCUGACACUUACUUGAAGAGUUGUGAUAUUGAUCAGAAAAUCAAUGAGCAAUGGAAUUGUAGUGAGCAGGUUACACUCUGAUUGGCUUUUUACUGUUAGAGAAUUUUACAUUCUGGAUUUCUUAUAUCGCUAAAAGUUAAAACUAAUGCCUCGAAAUGCCUUGGUGUUAUUAUCGAGGAUGCUGCUAAAAUUUAGUUGGCCCUAUGAAGUGAUUGUAACAUGUGACUUUCCUUGAUGCAGAACAAUGUACUAUUGAACAGUGUAGAAGGUCUUUCAAAGAACUUUCCAGAAAGAAUGGCACAAAGAGAUGGUAUUACCUUGAUUUGUAACUGGAAUAAUUUAUGCUUCCCAAAUAAUCUGUACCAAAUGUUCCAGGGUUAGGAUGAUGUCAUCUGAACAUGCUAUCAUUUUUUCUCUUAUUCAGGAUUGUCAAACAAAGGAACUCCAGAGGAUGGUAUAUUGAUGUCUGAUAAGCGAUCUGGAAGAAAAGGCAGGCGCCAGAAAGAUUCGUCUAAAUUUAGUGAGGUGAAUUAUCAAUCUGGUUCUUCUGAAAGGGAAAAUACUGAAGUUAGUGAAUCAAAAGCUCUGGAUUCUUCACAUGGUGAGCUGCAGUUGUUUGCUUAACUUUUAUAUAUAUUUGGCUGCUUCUGCUUUUCUGAAUGAUGACUUCUCUUUGCUUCUCCAACUUGAUUGGGUGGUUGAUGCUUUUGCAUUUUAUGCUAGUUGGUCUUAUUUUUACUUGUAAAGGAAAGUUGGCAGUGUCAGAAAUCACAGGGCAUUUCCUGGUUUUAGUAAAAAAUGAACAGUUUCAUGGUGGAUGACUGUGAUGUAACCCAUGAUUAACUGUUCUUAGAAAGUGUUUGUUUUAUAGUUCAAAUUCGUUCUUGCUUCUUUAUCAUUUGGUGUUCAGUAGUUUGCUAAAUAUGCAAGGUGAACGUGGGAUCAAUGUCAGUGCCUAACGUUGGAAAAAGCUCCGGGUUUGUUGAGGAAUGACAUUCAUGUGAUAACUCCGCCUGUGUGGUAGUUAAUGUCUUCUCUAUAACACAGCCGGUCCCAAGCCCGGAGAAAGGAGGAGGGUUGUUUUGUUAACCCAAUGACUAAAACACAAAAUAUCUUUUAAAUAUUGAAACAAAGAGUUCAUUUAUUCAAUUGAUCAAAGAUAGAUUACUAGGUUUAAAAUGUUAUGAUGGUUUUUAGCUUUUAGAGUUGGUACUUUUUGGGUCGAUUUUGCUCUUAUGAACUGUCACUUAUAAAAUUAGACCACAUCCUGUAUUUGAAUCUUUGUAACAAACAAAUCUAUCUGAAUCUUUGAAACAAACAAAUCUAUGCCCAAGCUAAUUUCUGUUUGUGUUAGUAACAGUGAUUGGUGAACUCAAUCAUCUCUUUCCAUUUCUUCAUUGGUUAAACUUUAAAGGAACAAGUUAUCUUGGUUCAGAUAAGUUAUAUAGUAAUUGUGGCAUUACUUCAUCAUACUCAAGCUGUGUAUUAUUCUGUAGCUAAACAGUGAGAGCACAAUUAAAUACCAACUCUAUGAAUAAAAUUGGUGGAGUCACUUUCUAUAAAAGAAACUUUAGGAGUUGCACUCAGUUUUGGGCCAAAUUGAGACCCUAUCCCUUUUUGAUCCCCCAUAAUCCUCUGUAGAUUUUUUUUUUAAAAAAACAAGCCGGUGGGUGUAAAUAGGUGCUCUUCCAAUAUUUUUCCUUGAAAUUUAAACUACAAACUGUUCUAUGAUCUGCUUCUGUUGAAGUGAACUAAAUUCAUUACCAUUUGAUUUCAACCCCAGAAAAUAAUGGUACCAGAGAUAGUGGAACAAAGACAUUGAGACAGCUACAUGUGGAGGAGGAUGAUGAAGAAAGGUUUCAAGCUGACCUUAAGAGAGCUGUACGCCAAAGUCUUGGUAUGUCUAUUUAUUUUUCAUUUCUGGGAACAAGUUCCCAAGAUAGUUUUAAUGUUUGUUAAUCUAGGGUGUUCUUUAUUUUUUGGGGAAUUAGUAGUCUAGGCUGUUCUCUAUCUGUAUAUAGUUCACUGCUCAAGCUUGAUGAUCAGAAGACUACUUAUCUACCCUAAAGUUAUCAGUUUCAAAAAAAAAAAAACUUAUCUAUCUUCUGUUUUUCCCAUCUGUCAAAUUAAGACCCUUUCUAAUGGUUUCUGAAGGAAAGUGACGUGCUAUAGCUUGAAAACUGGUGGCAGCUUUUGUUCUUCCAUUUGGCUUGAAGAAUUAACUGCUUUAAUAUUUUCCAUGUCCUGAUUGUUCAAGUGACUUCUGUCCUCAUUCUCUUCUUUUAUGUCAGAUGCAUUCCAUGCACAUCAGAAAUUUCCCUUGAUGGCAAGUUCAGGGGCACAGAGGAUGAUCUCUGAAACAGGGGAUUUGGGUAAUGAAAUUAGUUUUGGAAAUGUCAAAGAAAUGGAUGAUGUAUAUGGCACUGGGCUAAAGAAUGAAGUUGGAGAAUACAAUUGCUUUCUAAAUGUCAUUAUACAGGUUAGCAAUGCUUACAAGUGCUAAUCCGUUGUUUUAUAUUAUUAUAGACAAAUUAUCUUUGUUUGUUGUGCUCCCAAUUUUCUUCUAUUUCAAGUGCCUUCUCUGAUUUUUCUUGUUUUCUUGCCAUAUUUUAGUCAUUGUGGCAUCUAAGACAAUUUCGAGAUGAUUUUUUGCGAAGAUCAUCAUCAGAACAUGAUCAUGUGGGUGAUCCAUGUGUGGUAUGUGCUUUAUAUGACAUAUUCACUGCUUUGAACACGGCUUCAACUGAGAUGCAGAGAGAGGCUAUUGCUCCUACUUCUCUGAGAAUUGCUCUCAGCAACCUUUAUCCCGACAGUAAUUUCUUUCAGGAGGUAAAUGCGAAACUCUAUCGAGCGCUUCAUAAUUUACUAGGACUCAGCUUCUUUGAAUCCAAUUAACGAAAUAUUGACUUACAGGCUCAAAUGAAUGAUGCUUCUGAAGUACUAGGUGUAAUAUUCAAUUGCCUGCAUCGAUCAUUUACAUCAACUUUAGGUCGUUCAGAUGCUGAAUCUGCAGAUAGCAGUUGUACGGGCUCUUGGGAUUGCUCAAGUAGUGCUUGUGCUGUGCAUUCUCUUUUCGGGAUGGAUAUUUUUGAACGGAUGAACUGCUAUAAUUGUGGAUUGGAGUCUAGACAUCUGAAGUACACAUCGUUCUUUCAUAAUAUUAAUGCCAGUGCUCUCCGAACAAUGAAGGCAUGUUCUGUUGUUCUUUUAGGCAAUUUUGUGAUGGCACUUCAGUUUCCAUUCAGUAAAUUUAUCUUUUUAAGUUCAACAAGGGACAUUGUUUGUAUAAUGAGCAAUUUUCUUUACCAUUAUCGUGAGGAGUGGGGGAACUAAUUUGCACAUUUUACAGAGUAUUUUGUUCUUUCCUUUCAGGUUAUGUGUCCAGAAAGCUCGUUUGACGAGCUUCUGAAUCUUGUUGAGAUGAACCAUCAGUUGGCUUGCGAUCCUGAGGUUGGUGGAUGUGAGAAACUUAACUAUAUUCAUCACAUUCUCUCUGCUCCACCACAUAUUUUCACAACGGGUAACUAGUUCUGAUGUUUCCCCCUUCCCUCCUUUCUCUAAUUUUUUUGGUUGCCAAUGGGUAAUGUAAAUAUUUUAAGAGAAUCUAUUUGUUUCUAAUGUGACUUGUUUCUUCCUCCCCGCAGUUUUGGGUUGGCAGAAUACUUGUGAGGAUGUAGAUGACAUAAAAGCGACAUUAUCAGCUUUAUCUACUGAAGUGGACAUCGGCGUCCUUUAUCGUGGUCUUGAUCCGAAAAACAAACAUCGCCUAAUUUCUGUGGUAAUGUUUCUUUUCUUUUGUCUGCUGACUUUUUUCCUUUUAUGUAUUGCUAGGGAAUUAGUAUUGAAAAUCCCUUAACUAGUUCGAGCCAAAAUAUAAUCAAGUCACUGGCACUGAAUAUACAAAUCCAUUCAUAUUUCAGAAAAUUCCUGCUCCAAUUUUGAAAAAUCUCACAUGUUCCUUGUCAAUGUUAUAUAUAUUCAUAAAACCAUGCCAAUUGGUUUUUGUUCUAAAAAUAGUACAUGCCAGCUGGUUCAUUUUUAUUUUUUACGGUUUCAACCAAUUGAGGAUUACUUUCUGUCUUCUUUCAUGAAAGAAGUACUUGUGAUAUUGUGCCCUUUUUUAUACAUAAAGCCGUAUUUUUAUGAUUGAUGCAUAAAUGCGACUAUUUGGUCAGCACAGGUUUAUUCCAUUUUUUCGGUAUUUCCUUGUUUGUGUCAACAACAUAUACUGUUUUCCACCCAGAGUUUGGGUCAAAACAUAUCUCAAAUAAUAUAGCUCUCUCUGUUUGUUCCCAUGUGCAGAUUUUUCUCUAUUAAUCCUGAAUAUGUUUGAGAUUGUCUUUUUUUUAUAAAUAAAAUAGAACUUAUCUGCAUAUGUUUAAGCUAAAUGUAUCUUUCAUGUUGCUAGGUUGUAUAUAAGAAUCACUUUGUAGUACUUUUGGGUGUAGAACCAAGUUCCGUUUGUAUUUUAACAAGUGUCUGUUUAAUUCUGAUGUGGUAUGUGUCUAAAGAUGGAUACUUUUAUGACUCAACAUUUCUUUCUUUCAGGUUUGCUACUAUGGACAGCAUUAUCACUGUUUUGCCUACAGUCAUGAUCGUGGACAGUGGCUCAUGUAUGAUGACAAAACCGUAAAGGUAAUAUUCUGUUUCUUCCUAUUUUUCCUUGUUAUCUUUUGAAUAAGAUUUUGUUAUUAUGGAUAUUUUUUAUUCAGGUAAUUGGUGGCUGGGAUGAUGUUCUCGUUAUGUGUGAAAGAGGGCAUUUGCAACCGCAGGUCCUUUUCUUCGAAGCUGUAAACUAGUCCAGCCAGCAAAUGGUACCUCUCUAAUAGUCAAAAGAUGAUCUGGAUCAGCGUUGGUUUCUUUGAAGCUGUAAUCUAUUUCAGCUUAGAAAAAUACCUCCCUAAGCUGCAAUGAAGAUGUGCAACUGUGCUUUUCCAUUCAAUUGCCAAAGGCAAUGACGAUAUUGUGCACUGUUGAUCUGCAAAGUUACAAAAUUGUGUAAGAAACUGUACUAUACCAUCAGAAAUUUGUUGACGGGAUGAAGAGAAAAUAGGAGUAGUUGGCCUGCUAGCGAGAAAAACUUCUUCAAAUAUGUGUAUCAUGGUGGAAGUUAUCAGAGGAUUGGGAAGAAAAAUGUAAGUUAUGGUGCUGUUGAUACUUGGUAAGCAUUGGCAAAAUCAAAGAUUUGCGUCAUCUGAAAAUUUUGGAAUCCUUACAAUAAGGUGGCGUGGUUGAAGAAAGUAGUAGUUGCCACCAGUUUCGUAGUCAUGAGGAACAUGUAGAUGUUUGAUUUCUGAGAUAUUGCUUCUGUACACAGGUAAUGAAUCAUAUUAUCUUUCACUUCCAAUGUAAGCAAGUCUGUAUAGAUUGGCAAUUGGUCUGUAGUCUCUUAGUGAUGGUCAAUAGUAAGUCUUCUAUACACUCUAUAUUCAUUUUGUUGUUUCCUCUUAGAGGGAAAAGAAUUUUGAGUGCCCAGAAGUUAUGGGAACUUUGUAUUACGGAUGCCUACGAUAUUUAAUGAAAGGGAAGACACCAUAUUUGCUCGUCAAGCAGAAAAGCCGUUCGACUGUAACUUCUGGGUUUUUCUAGGGUACCGGUAUUUGUUUUUUUUUUUUCCUCUGAAUGUAUUGCUCUGUAUUUUAAUUGUAUUUUCUUUAAUGCUUUGCAACUGUUUCUGAUAAGUAUCUUUGUCACUUUUGAAUUCUCAAAAGAAAAAAAGCGUCUUUGUUAGUUUUGUAAACCAUGUUGUGUUUUUUUGGGAGAAUUGGUUUUUGGGUCACUUGCAGUUUCUUUUUUUAGUUUUAUGGCUUUUUUGCAGGAUAUUUUCUUCUUUCAUUUUGUAGGUGGCCAAAAGAUCUUAAUUCCUCUAAAUUUAUCAAGUGAAUCGUUGUUUUUUUUUACUUUCUUCUUUCUCCUAAAAAAAUUAAAAAUAUUCUGUCUUAACCAUUAAAACAGUUUGGAUUUUAUUCGGGUUUGUUUUCUUCCUAAAAUAAAACCAAUUCCUAAUGAGGUGAAAUCAAAACACAAAAAAAUAUCUUUGGAAUUUAACAUAGGAUGUAUGAAGAAAAUGAAGCAUAUACAUUAUUUAUCGACCACGAAAGAAGCAUCCCAAUCAUUCAACAACAACACUUCCUCUAGACCUCUACAGUCUGAGACGGGUAAAUCUACCAUUGAAGUUAGGGGUUCUACAUUAAGCCAGUAGUUUUGGCUCAGAUCUUAUAUUCAUGUUAUUAUACACUUAGUAUGCAUAAAAAAAAAACUCAUCCCAAAUCCACUUGUUAUCCUAUCUUAGAGUUCAGAACUCGUAAACUUAAAAUCUUGAAUUUGCCUUUUGUCCUGGAGCCCUGGAUUUAGAUCAUAUAAGCCUUGUAUUGUAUGAACCACAAUAUGGGCACUUAUGAUAGUGCCAGUGGAAGGAAGCAGUUCCUCUCUUCUGACAAUCAUUGCAUAAUAUAACCUGUAUGUAACCUUCUCAGUGUCAAGAGGAUUGAUAUCACAUUAACCCCAAUUCAAAAGAUAUUCAUACAUGGAAACAAAAUAAUCCCUUUGUUUCAAUUUGUUUGUCUGGUUUUGAUUUAGCACGAAGUCUAAGAAAGUAAAGAAAACUUCUUAAUACUAUGGUUUUAAACUAAAGAUAUGUUAAUGUACCAAAAUGUUCUUUAAUCUUGUGGUCUUAAACAUGUCAUGUGGAAAAUUGAAAUUAAAAUGUAGCCGAAAAAGGGAAGAAACAUUCUUUUUGAAACGGAGGGAGUAUGAUUUAAAUGAACCUGAAUCUGGCCAGCGUACUCCUCGGGAAUUUUUUCCUCAGACAGAAAUGCAUCUAACAUCUCAAAGAGCACCUGAAAUUAAGUACCAAAUGUGCUGCAUAGUCAAUACAUUUUCUAACCAUGAACCAGUCUAAUGAGCUAUUGCACUAAAUAGUUUGCUGACCUUCACGUCCCCAAUUGUCUUGCUACAGAUUGGGCAUGUGUAAUGCGUAAAAGUGUAGUCCUAAGAUGUGUAUUUAGAGAAAAAGAGAAAGGAAGAAAAGAUCAGCAGUACAAUCUGAAAGAUCCUGUAAGUUUGGUUAAGUAGGGAACUUUGUAUGAGUCUAAUACCUGAAAACAUGUUGAGUGCAUGAAAUGACCACAAGGAAGUUGUUUAACUGGAGUAGCUGAAGUGAAAAUGUCCUCAUGACAGAUUGGACAGUUAUCCUCCAAGCAGUUCUCUCGACAUGUAUGAAUAGAGAGAGACUUCGAUAACAAGCAAGCGUUGCAGGUCAUGCAAUGAAAGACUUCAACGCCUAAUCCCUCCCCCACUCGGCACAAAUUGCAGAAAGGGCAGUGGUAUAUCUGUCUGUUCAAAAAGUUGUAUGACUGAAUUAGUGAAUGAAGCACUUUGCUGGAGCAGAAGUAAUUCUAGUCUAUGAAGUUCGAAAUAACUGUCUUUUGUACUCAUUACAAACAACAAGAGCUCCUUUCUUUUCCUUUAUUUUUUUCAUGAAGGGAAAUGGAGAAGGGAUUAUGAACCCUCACCAACAAGGUGAAAAUUCAGGUAGCCAACCUACUGAGCUACUAAGAUUUCCCCAAAAAGAGUUCGUUAUUUUUAUGACCAUAGUUCAUGCCUAUAGCUUUCUUACUUAAACAUUCUAAGAAAGUUCCACUUUUUUGCUUACUCAUUUUGUGUCUUGUACUCUUACCACUGCACAAGGAACUAAAAUAGGACUUAUUUGAAUAAACACUAUGGAAUUCUUAGGUGUGCUACUUGGUAUACUAUUUCUCGCUUUAAGCCUGUGAAGAUGUGACCCUUGGGAUUAACCCCAAAUGCUAGCUCUUGAACGGAGGAUAGGCCAAUAAUAUACAAUUAUUCGAUGAGGGGACAUAAUCCCCACAAGAUCAAAUGUAAACCUGAUUCACUCACCUGUCAUCAUCAAACACUUUGCAUAUUCUGCAAUAGUAUUUAGCCAUGGAGAAAUUGUUGCAAGUAAGAGUUAAGCAACUGGGACAGAUAGGUUGCAUCUUCAAACAUUUCAUGCACAUCAUCUGGGUGAUAGAUUUUCUGCAAGCAUGGUCAUAACCAGAGUUGGGAUAUGUUAAACCAGCAGGAAAAAAAAGUAAGUCUUUACCAAUAGGCAUGAAGACCAAGUGCAUCCCACUCACACCUGUCCAGACAAUGAUCAGUAAUUUCAUCAUGACAUCGUAUACAUGGAAAGAGCUCAUUACAACAUGGAGCAAGUAGCUUGCAGUUCCUCUUGUAAUGCUUGCAACCAAAAACUGAUUCUGUUUUAUCACGAAAUGACGGACAUUGACCAGUGAUUUUCUCCUUAUCCUUUGCAGUAGCAACCUCUGAAUAAGACUUCUCCUGUGUCAAAAUCCAUUGACUGAAAGAAAUCCUUGUAAUGUCAAGUCAAAUAAAAGAGGCAGAAGAAAUAAACUGAAAUGUAGAGAAAAGAAGAAAAGUAGAGGUGCUUAAGUGUUCCGAUAGUCCAGAGGAAAAUUGACUUUGUUUUUCCUAACAUUCACUGGUAAAAGUUCAAUUCUUUGUCAUCCUGGAUACCUCCAUUGUAUUAUCACUGAACGUUCUAAGUUCUAACAUACAUUAUUUAAGUGCAGUCGAACAAUUUUAGGAGCUACUAAAAUUCAGGAAAAGAACCAAAAAACUAGAUUAUGCAGGAACCAGUUUUCCGGUUCUCUCUGAUUGGUGCCACAACUGCCAAUCUUGAUCCAAUAGCAACCACUACAUGGAAAUCAUGGUGAAACCAGGACUAGAGACUGAACUGAUGAUGUACAUGUAUUAUGAACAUAUUCAGUUAUCUAUAAUACUAUUAUGCAUUAUCAUACUUAUGAUACUGGUAAUUAUGUAACCAUAUAUGGCUUCUUCCCAAGAAACAAAUCAAAGGAUAGAAGUUGAAAAUGUAUUUGCCUCAUUAGCAAGCUCUGCAUGAGGUGUGAUUUCUUUACAGAAUCCAAAGAGGAGUCGCCUGAUACUCUUCUUAUUGCGUCAACCAGCUUGUCUUGAGUCAGCAUUAGAUGGUGCUCCUUGUGAUCCUUUUGCUUUGACUGCUCAUAUAAUUUUAUAUCCUGACAAGUUGUUUCUUUUUGAUUAGCAAUGUCUGUUGUGUCAUUGCAUCUUUUCUUGUCAACAUCAGUAGAAUGCUGAGAUAUAUCUAUGGCUCGAUUAACAUUUUUGUUUCCCUUGGCAUUCUGGGAUUUAUCUGCAGCGAAAAGUCCAGAUUGAUCUAAAUCAUGAUCAGCACACUCUGUCGAUGAAAAGUUCUCCCCUUUCUCGUGGAAGACGCUUGAACUCCUGAAAUCAUCUCUUGACAAAUAUGUAGACAUAACUUCUAAAGGAUCAACAGCCAAUGCAAGAGAAAGCUUUGAUCCCUUUUCUGCGUUUACACUCUCAUCUCUUUUUAUACCUUCCCACCACUCUCCCAGCCACUCAAAAAACUUUGUAUUCUUUGUGACUUUACGCCAGAUUGACACAAUGCCAUGUUGUUCUUCUGGUGUUAGAGAUGCCAUCAACCAGGGAAUCAUUUCUUGUAGAUUCUCCGCUUUGGUUCGUCCAAGCAUGUCUCCAAUAAUCUUUUCUUGUUCCUCAACAGAAAAAUGUUCUUUGAAUAGUGGCCAAAGUUCAACUUCUUCACGGUAGAUGUGGUCAGUGAGUGUUUUAUGCAUAGAUAUGCAUGUAUCAUGUAGAUUUAAGCACAACCUUUUGUAUUUCAGCUUAUUACUGUCAAUCAUGUCCACAUAACCUUGCAAACUGGUGAUCUCAUUUAAGAUGAUAGAAAUUCUAUCGAAUUGCUCAACCUCCAACUUAUGGUCAAUGCCAUACGAAUGGCUGACAUUUUGGAGCUGUCCCUUAGAUUCCAAGGCAGGAAAGGCAAUUUCAUCCUCGGACUUACUAUGCAGCUGAUAUAGAAAUCGUACGUGAUGGAAAUGUCUUUCAAAUUCAGCAAGGAGUCCCACAUCUUCAGCCAACUUAACUGACAGAGAAAGAGCAUACUGCAAAUCUUUUUUCAGGGCUUUGUGGAAGAAAUGGAAAAAGUCAAUUGGUUUUACAUCAAGACUGGAUAAUCUCAUACCAUCAACAGCAGUUUCAGGAAGGCAGAAUAAGUCAUUCAGUGAAUCCGAGAAAAAUAUACGAAGAUUGAUCCCAUUAGAAUAAGGUGUAUCAUGCUUCCCAAGGUUGUCAAGUGUUGAAGGGUGAUAAGGUCUAUCAGGGGAUUGCAUUUCCGAGUGCGAGGAAGAACUUCCAGAAUUCUUGCUCCACUUUUCAAACAAAGAGCUUCUGCUACUGAACAUUUCUUCUAAAUCUUUUCUAAACUUCUCAACUGAGAUUUUGCCUGAAUAACCCAUCCGAACCCACUCAUAUAAAAGAGUAGCAAAGGACUUGUUAACUACAGCAGAUUCCAACUUUAUAUUGUUCAACAUCAUUUUGGACUCAUCCUCAGAUAAAUGAGCAGAGAACCAAAUAAUCAUGCACUUUAGCAACCCAAGUGGCAACAUAUGCAGGCUCAUGUACAAUAAACAAAGCUGCAAUUCAUGACUGCAGGUCUCUCUAAUGAACACAAACACCUAAAAGAAACCAGAGGAACAGAAGUCAAUAUAAAUAUCAUUUCCAAAGGCAUGCCAUUUGCCUGCUAUGUUUGAGCAUCAUCAUGUUGUGGUAAAACUACAGCUGGAAAGACGGCGUACCUCGGUUUCUAGAAACUGCAGCUUUUUGUUCAUCCUCCCAACAAAUAGUUCCACUUCCUGGCAAAGCAUAUCUACAAAAACCUUUAUUUGUAUCUCCCCAUGCAGCUUAUAGUAUAGCAAUCUCUGCAGUUCUUCAAUUUGACUUCUUUCAAUAAAUUGUUCAUGAAAAGUAGAAAGGGCAUCCGUGUUCAAUUGAUCUACCAAGGGAUAGUAGAUUUGAUCCAGUGCAUUGCUGUAAAUUAAAGCAACACUCAGGAAAAAAAAUCACAUUGAGUUUUUAUCAAGUACAAGAAUUUAGCUGAGAAGUUACUACCUGUAGAAUGUGAAAACAUCUGCAAAAAACUUCAACUGUGUAAUCACUGACAACAAGGUUGAAACACAAAGCGAGCUUCGUAGUUGAUAUAGUUCCUCCAUAAUUACUCUUAGAUCUCGUGUUAUAGCAGCAUGCCAGAUAUGAAAACCAUCAAUUGGAUUAUGUUCUUCUGAAGCCUUCUGGUGCUGCAUUUCCUUGCACUGAACCAUCAGCACAUCCAUUUCAAAUAUGUACUUCAUAUUGGCUUUUCCAUAAUGAAAUUUAGCGCCUUUUCCAUCUUUUAUGCAGGACCGGGAAGAUGCUUCCUUGUUAUCAUCAAGCCAUGAGAUGAACACCUUCAAAAUUUGAAGAAAAAAUAUUGUUAGAUCGAUGACUUAGGACUUUACACUUAACAAUAUCGAUGGAGAAUUACUUUAAAUCUACCUCUUGAAUAAGUUUUUCUUCAGGUAAGACUAUAUGUAUGAAAUUCAGAAAGUAUGUCUUUUCAUGUGAAGAAAGACUAGCUGUUAGCCAUGGCAUAAAAUCCUCCAGUAUCAUUAGAGGAACACUACAUAGGUAUUGCCAAACGAGCCUAGCCUGCUCUUCGGAAGAGAAUUUCUCCAUCAUCAACGGAAAAAUCUGCAUAGAAAUUUUAUUUGCUAGCAAUUUCAGAAGAAAGGGACUAUUCAGAUGAAAAAUUGAUACUGAAGAUUUGGCAAAUUACCUGCUCCUCUUCUUUUAGCAUAUGCUGAGAAAUGGUUGUCUGGAUGGUACCUAUGCUACAUGUUAGUUCAUUAAACAAGACGGAAACCUCCUUUUUCUCCUUUUGUAAGCGAUCCAAGCAAUCGAAGAUGGAACUGAACAGAACAUCUAUACUAUUGUGUUCAAGUGAAUAUGUGAAGACCACAUUCUUCACUUGUGCAUCUAGUGCUUGAAAAAGGACCUGUCAAUGUUAAUAUUCAGAUUUUGGCUUAACAAAAUCUGCAACAGGUAAUAUCUUGACAAAUGCCAGUACUUUUAUCAGAACUAUCAGUGAGCUGAGUAUACAACAACAACAACAUACCCAGUGUAAUCCCACAAGUGGGGUUUGGGUAGGUUGGGGGGUACGCAACCUUACCCCUGCCUUGUGAAGGUAGAGAUGAUGUUUUCGAUAGACUCUUGAGUCUUGACUCAAGUAAAGCAUAUAAAAAAAAUUAGGUUUGUAAAUAGCAGCAACAAAAUAAUACGAUAACUGAAGCAAUAGAAACAACACAUAGCACUAAAUUGAAGAUUAAGAUAGUAGGAGAGUAAUAAUCACAAUAUUGAAAAAGGAAACUAGACAAGGCUCGACCUACUAACCUUCUACCCUAAUCCUCAUCCUCCAUAACUUCCUAUCUAGGGUCAUGUCCGAGGUUAGCUCCAAGUGAGUCAUGUCUUGUCAAAUCACCUCUCCCCAAUACUUCUUCGGCCUACCUCUACUACUCCUAAUACCCAUUAUACCCAACUUCUCUACCUUCAGUGAGCUGAGUAUACUGCUAAAAAUGACUUUUCUUGGUACAACUGGUGCAGUUUGUUAGUGGCGUUUUGUCAAACACUACUAACUUAAGCCAGAAAGUCACAAUUUGAUAUAAAAAAAAGUACAUGGAUAUCAGCAGGUAAAAAUCAUGAGUCAAUUCACUAGAAUUACAAGUUUGUGUAAUAAUUAGAGACCUCUCAUUCUUCAGUAACUUAUUUCCAAACAAAUGAUGAGGUACUCUAGUAAUAAUUCAAGUAGCAUUGUUGUAACUGUGCCCUUAACAUAAAGGGGUCUUAGCUCUCUCCAAACGUUUCACACAAUUCAAAUAUGAAGAACUAAACACACCAAGAAGUCAAAAGGGGUUCAACAGAGCAAGGACGUGUUUUCUCCCUUUUUCAGUGAAAAAUAUGUUUUUUGGUGUUUACAACAACAUACCCAGUGUAAUUCCACAAGUAAGGUCUAGAAAGGUACGAUGUACGUAGACCUUAACCUACCUUUGUGGGAUAGAGAUAUGGUUUCCGAUAGUCCCUCAGGCUCAAAAAGUGCAAUCAAAACAGGAUAUAAAGGAAAGUAACAACAACAACAAAACAGCAAGAUAAACAACGAAAUUGAAGUAACAAUAAGCAAUAAAAAUGAAGAAAUAACAUAUGAUCAUUUGACAGUGUUAAAAUAAAAUACAUAAGGAUUGUAAAAAAAAAAAUGUUCUAAUCUCUGCAGAAUUCAAUAUUUUACCUCAUCUUCAGCAACACAAUGAUACUUAUAAACAAUCUUCAAAAAGUGUAACCGCUUACAAAGUUGAUCAACUACUUCACCACGACCACCACAACCACCACUAUCCAAUGCUUCAACCGCAACACAACGAAUUUGAUCAAGCUCAAUUUCAACAGCUUUGUGAGAAAGAACGAAAAACAGAAUCGGCGAAUCAACUAAUAGUUUCACAAAAUCAUCAACAACAACAGAAGCAGAACAAGAUGGCAAGGCCAGAGUGUCGUCAUCAUCUUCCUUACCACCCAUUUACUACCACCUGUCAUGAAUGGCAACAAAGACCAAAUUGGUAGUAGUAAUUUCAGCAUUGAAAAUGAUACAAUAAUAGAUUAAUUGGUUUGUUUUUGGCUCUUUGCUUCUUCUUUUUUUGGUGCAGACAGGCCUAUUUGGUGCCUCUUCAAAGUUCAAAUAUUUAUUUGUUUAUUUGACAUGCCUUGUACUACUAGUAUUUUAUUUGUUACGUAUAUAUAUAUAUAUAUAUAUGUUUGUUAAUACAAUUUUAAUGUUGCUGAUUUGGUAUUUUGGUUUGAUGUGAAGCUUACCUAACGACUAUUAUUGCCUCGCGCCUUUUGAGACUUGACAUGGUACGAUAGAUAUCGAAUUAUUAUAUUAAAAUAAAAAAAUGAGAUUUUUUAUAUUAUUAUUUUGAAAUUAUAGUAUUUGUUAUGCAUUAUAAUUUUCUUUUGGUAUUUUGUAUGAUAUUCAGUAUUUCUUAACAAAAUGCUAAAAAUGAAAUACUAUAAUUACAUAUAUAGUAUUAAUAAUACUAAAAGAUAUGUAACCUAGUAUGAGGACAAAUUAUUGUUUUGAUGUUGCGAUUUUGACUAUUUUAUCUUAAUUGAAAUGUUUUUUUGUGUAAUUGACUAACGAAGGAGAUUGAUUGUAUUUUCUUUUGAAUAUUGUAUACGUGUGUAAGGUGAUAGUAUGAUAUAAUUGAGACAUUUUUUAAAGAGCGAAAAUCAUAAUUCUCUAUUAUACGUAAGUCAAAGUCAAACAAAUUAUGAUUAUUGACUUACCAAACCACAAAAUAUCAAAAUCAAACUUGAAAAUGUCAAACCAUACAAAUUAAUUUGUAUGAUAAUGAUAUACUCCUAUAUUUUUGAGAAUCGAAAUUACCAAACUAUAGUUUUAAAUAUCGUACCAUGCCACCCUAAUUAUUAAUACUCGCAUGAGCAAAAUUAAUAAUUUAUCAAAUUCAGUUAAUAAAACUUUGUUCAGAAUUGUAAGGACUGAAGAAAGUAACACGCGAAUGAUUAGCAGUGUUUUAUUUGUUAGAGAUUUUACAAAAUAUAAUUAAAUGACAUAUUUCGUAUCAAAAUUUAUUUAUACACAACAAUGCCAAAACAUUUUAUAAAUAAAUUUUAUAAAUCCAAUCUAAUGUGAGAAUUUUAUACAAGUAUAAAAAAAUCUUAUAUGUUGAACUUUCUACAUAUGCUAUAUAUAAGUAUUGAUAUGGUAUAUUAAUAUAGUGCGUAUAUUCUCAAAACAAAAUAUAAAAUGAAAUAAUAGACAUUUAAGUUCAUCAGAAAAUGAAAAAGAAGAAGAAGAAGAAGAAAUGACAUUUUUGAAGAAAAAAACUUAUUUUUAGUUUCUCAAUCUUUGGUGAAUGUUUCACGCAAUCGACAUUUUUCAAGUAAUAUUGUUAUUUAUUACAUAUAAUAUUAACAAAAUAGACAUAGAUGACAUGUUAAUUUUUGUCGGAGAAAUGAAAGGCUCAAUUAGUUAUAUUGUAAAAGUGUGCUUACUUGAUCAAAUGAACUUAUUACAUUUAAAGGAAAAUAUAAUAUUAUUGUAGAACGAAAAUUAUUUAAGUUCAGAUUUUCCCCUACUUCAAUUCUAAUUAUAUAUAUAUAUAUAUAUAUAUAUAUGGUUUAUUAUAGUUGUUUAAUAUAAAAAAAUUAAAGUUAAAAAAACCUAUUCAUUUAUGGAUUAUAACGAGGAUUAUAAUUUAUGUACAUCAUCAGCAUAUAUAUAUAAAUAUCGAUUAUGGCUUAUGGCAGCCUGGUUACUGGAGUGAAACCAACGCUGACCCCUUCUUUUGUACGCUCUAACUUGGUAUCAGAGCAGACAGAGAUCCUGAGAUCGAAUCUCACCGCUACCCAAAAAUCAAAAAGAAUUUUCACGUGCUUGGCCCAUUAAAAAAAAUCAGGCCUGCACGUGAGGGGGAGUGUUGAGAAUAUAAUUAAAAUAAUAAAAGUGUGUUCUCUUUAACAGCUUAAACUUUUAGAUAAGAUGGUCACACACUUCAACAUUUAACCAAGAAAUUAUAGAUGUAAAAUAUUCUAAUAUUAAUUUUAGAUUUGCAGAUAAUAUUUUUAUUUUUUUGUUAAAAGUAUUGUUAUAUAUAUAUAUAUAUAUAUNNNNNNNNNNNNNNNNNNNNNNNNNNNNNNNNNNNNNNNNNNNNNNNNNAUAUAAUAACUGAAACAUCAAAAACUAUUUGUUUGGUUCUAUUUCACUAGUUUAUCCGUGAUCUUAUUGUUCGUUAUCAAUCAUGUGGAUAAUGUUAGUAGAAUCAAUUUGUAUUUUCAAGAGUUGGGUUAAGUUCUACGGCUAGUUGCAAUUCCCUUUUCAAUGCUUGGAGUUCUGCCAUCACAGGGCUUGUGUGGAUGUGAUCUCAACAAAUCCCAACCUCCAUUGACCAAUAUGACUCCUAUUCGGGAUUAACACUUUUCAUAUAUGAUGGUUUUUUGUUAUUUGGUCAUUUCUUAUAGUAUCAAUGUUCUUAUCAAUGGUCUUAUUUUUUUGCUGAAGGGAUUGUUAUUUUUUUGUUAUUGAAUGUAUACUCUUAAUAGAGUUCCAAAGUUAUUGAUUAUCUAACUCUUAAUGGACUUCCAAAAGUCUAUCCAGUAAUUGAUAUUAUGCAGAUAAUGUUAUUCCACCAACAUGGUGACUCAAGUGUAAAACAAUUAAAAUCUCUACAAAUAAAAGACCUCUAACAAAUUUAUUUUUAUUAUAUCUUAUUAUAUAAAAUGAUCAUUUGUAUGUAUUUAUAAUUUAUAACUUUAUAUGAUAGAUAAGUAUCUUAUAUAUAACUUAUUUGUUUUUAUUAUAUUUUAUUAUAUAAAAUGAUCAUUUGUAUGUAUUUAUAGUAUAUAACUUUAUAUGAUAGAUAAGUAUCUUAUAUAUAGCUUGAGAAGUUCUUUAAAAAAAAAUAAAGUGUUAACCAAUUGUUGCAAUAUAAUACAUUGGUUCUUGUUCUAAAAAAUUUCAUUGGUAGAUAAUAAUUUUUUAAGUAAUUUAAUUCAAAGUUCUAAAUAUUAGAUAAAGUUUUACUAUUAUUUAAUUAGAAUUUCAAUUUUGUUCACUCAAUUCCUAAUGUCAUGACUAUAAAAGAAAAUAAUGAACUUUUCUAAUUAUUAAUUGCAAUUUGGUUAUAUGUACAUAUAUUAGUAAUAAUAUUCUAGUAUUUAUGAGAAGACUUUGCUUAAAAAAAUUAAAAUUAAUUGUAAUUUAAGAUAAAUAAAAACGGCAAUAAUGUAUCAGUUAGUCUAAUUCCAUAAAUAAGGUUUAAACAUGACAUAUCGUAUGUAAAUCAAAUCCCUACUUGAAAAAUAAGUGAAAAUGGGUUAUAACUAUUCUUUUACUUUUAGAAAAAGAGUUAUAUUUACCGCUUGUCAUAUUUUUUUUAAAUAUAUUUGUCCAGGUCAUCCAACUUUAGACACAUAUAUUUGCCCUUAGACGGUUAAGUUUCAUAUUCCCUAAUUUCGUUAUCAUAUGCGACACCUACAUCUACAUGACAUGCCUACAUGAAUAUAUAUAUAUUUAAUUCAAUUAAAAUUUCUUCCUAAUUAUUUAAUAAUUAUACUCAAACCAAUAUUACAUUGAGAGACUCAACUCUAUCAGAUUGGCGAAUCAGAAAAGAAUCCUUUUACUAUAUGGAAUUACAUUAAAGACUACGAGGUUUUUUUUAUCAUAACAUUUUUUCACAUUCUUGAUUUUUAGUAAUUGGGUAUAUGUUAAGAAUGAUUUAUGGGUCACCGAUAUUUUUUUUAAAAAUUUUUUGUUUGUUAUUGUUCAGGUGAUGGUAUCCUUUUAAGCUCUGCUAUCCUAAUAGAGUAGCAAUUGAUAUCAGGGGCGGAGCCACCGGGGUGUCAAGCGAUACUCUUUCGUCGGAAAAUGACAUUGUAUAUAAAUGUCAAAUUUGAUUUAAUAAUAUAUAUACAAGUAUUGAUACCUCUUUACAUAAGUUGAAUGUUUAGUCUAGUGGCUAAAGAUUUACGAAAAUUCUUUGAGGUUGCAUGUUCUAGCCUUGCCAAGUAAGAUGAUAGAAGUGAGGAAUACAAAAUUUAACUGAGUUGGAUGCCAAGGAUACAUAUAUUACAAAAAAAGUAUGAUAAAGGACAAGUAUAACCCUUUUAUGAAAGUGCUAUAACGAUAAAUAUAAUCCUUUUUCAAAAAAUAAAUGUUAUUUCCAAGUUAUUUAUUUAUCUCUUAAUCCAAGCUUGAAAUAAUAAUUAAAUUUAUUUUAAUGGUUCAAAAAUACACGAGUUGUAAUUACCAAAUAAAUCAAAGGUGGGAGUAAUAGAGCUGUGCAUUGUGAUGAAAAUAGAUAAGUUACAAGUGAGGGGAAGAUAUAUCAUAUAUAGUUUUAUAAUCAAAGAUAUGUAUUUAUAACAAUAAUAAUUCUAAGUAAUGUUUUUUCGUGCCCUCCGUCUUUCAUAAUUAUCAUUAUCUACACGUUAAAAUUAUUAUGUUUGCUUUGUUGUAGAGAAUCUUAAAUUCUCAAGGGAUCGUUAUUGAUAGACUUUGUUUGUUUCGAAAAUUAAUAAACUCAACCUCUGGAUUUAUUGCUUCAGAGUUAUUGUGUGUGUGAAUUUUAUUUAUUCUUUUUUAUCGAUUUAAGAGACGAGCAAAAUAUUAUGAGUUUUAAAUAAAUGUCUAAAUGUCUGCCUUUCAUGCUUUUAAUUUGGCACGUGUUGUCGACAUAACCUCACGUGUUAGUCUCGUGUCUUUCUUCUCUCAAGUUUUCUAUUUCGAGUGAUAAAUUAAUAAGUUUUCGUUUUGUCAUACAUUUCAAAAUUGAAAUUUAAAACUUGCAAAUUUGUAUUUUUGAAACUCGAAAUUGUGUUUGGACAUAUAUUUUACUUGUUUUUUUUUAAAGUUUCUUGAAUGGAAUUAAAAUAAAACUUGAAAUAUUUUGAAGAAUUUUUAAAAUCUGAUCAAAUUUAUAACGAGACACAUAAUUGAACUUCUUUUUAAAAUCUAAUCUAAAAUUUAUAAUCAAACACUAGUUAAAUAAUGCGCUCUUACGACAAUGUAUAAUUUAAGACGUUGAAUCACUAAGUAUUAUUUUUAUUAUAAUGAUUUAUUUCCUAUCAAGUCUCGAUCAUAAUUCAUAAUAUAGCCUAAGCCGACCAUUUUCAAAGAAAAAUUAUAUACCACGUAUCAAAUAGUUGAUCACCGUACAAAAUUUAAUAUUUUUUAUUUUUCAUUCCGGAUAUUAGAAGAAUUUGAUUAAAUUUCAAUUUGUACAUUACAAAAUUUAUUUUGGUGGCGAUGCUUCUAACAAUUUUUUUUUCCAGAAGCUUAAAUCAAAGUUCUAAUUAAGAGUAAAGAUCACAAUCAUAUCAUCACCAUCUUAAUUAGUCAAAAUUGAUUUAUUAUUAUCAAAUCGUUGACAACAGUGCGAAUGUCAACAUUAUUUUUUGCUAGAUUUCUGGAUGGGCAUGAAAUCAUAACAAGUUUGUGUGACAUAAGAUUGGAAGAUUUGCAAUGGAGUGCGGUCACAAAUUAGUUGGCUGUUGAAAAGUUUUAUUAAACUAAUACAAAUUUAAUUGGUUGAUACUUUUCCGUUUAGCUAUAAAUUUUGAAAUUAAAACUUAAAAAUUUGAAUUUUUCUAAGUCAGUUUUAGAAAUUUAAAAUUUUGUUUCGACGUGCAUUUUAAAAAAAUAAAAUAAUUUCUUUCAUAAGUGAGUGAAAUUUCUUCCAAUACUAAUUCGAAUCUUUUUCAUAAUUUUAAAAUAUUUUGAAGACAAAUUUUUAGAAUAUAAUCCAAAAUUUAUAGCCAAAUAAAUAUUUUAUUUAUAAAAGAAAUUAUUAUCAAACACUAACUUAAAGUCUUUUCUAAAUGUGGAGCUUCUAAGUGCACCAAGAGCCACUUGUAGGAUUGCUAUUUUGGAUAUAUUUAGCAUUUACAAAGUAGGAAGAAUUUUUUUUUAUAUUUAAUUGAUCAUAUAUCUUGAAAAAUAAUUAUUUUUUUAAAGAAAAAUAAACUUAAUCUCUGAUGAAAAUAAAGAAAACAAAUUUCACUAAUGAUAUUUCAUAUUGAUUAUGUCCGCCUCAUCUACACCCAUCUGUAUGAUUUGCAUUCCUACCAUCCCACAUUCCUACCUCCCCAUCCCCACCUUCCAUGGUAUUUUUGCCCAAAUAUUAUUUCUACAUUAACAAUGGCUAGUUGUCAAAUAGUUUUGGAAUUGUGAAUUAUUUUUCAAUAACGGUCAUAAAUAUAAAAAAAUUACAUAACAAACAUUUAAUUUUUGACCUUGUUAUCAUAAAUUUAAUAAAUUUAGAUUCUUGCUAAGAAAUUGUUUCAUCAUCCUCAUUCUUCUUCAUUAUGAUGAUCGAAAGAUUUCUAGCUAUAUAUACUAAAAAUAUGUUAGCGAUAUGUGAUCAAAUUUCGACGAUCAUCGUAACUUAUUGUUAAAAAAAGAAGACGAACUUUAUCAUAUAGCCACUCAAAAAAUAGCCCAAUUACGCUUCAUAGCCAUAGUUUGCUAAUUACGAUUCGUAGGUACAUGUUCUAGGGAGGAGAGUGGCGAGCAAAACUAGGAGAGGGAUGAGAGAGGCGAACGAGAGAGGGCAGAGAGGGAGAGAGGUAAAUUGUAUAUGUAUAUCGGUUAGAUAAUUGUAUAUUAUACAUAUGUAUUUGUAUAUUCUGGCGAGUGAGAUUGGGAGAGGGAGGAGGGAGGCGAGAGAGAGGGGAUAAUAAUUUGUAUAAUUCACAUCUCGUUUGUAUAAUCCGCAGGUACGUUUGUAUAUUCACGUGUUUUUGUAUAAUUGAGUAAUAUAAAGUCUGGAAUUAUACAAAUAUAAUAAAACUCGAAAAUAACGAAUUGAUACAAACAUAAACAUAUGAACUUUAAACAAUUAUACAAAAUAUAUUAUACAAAUUACAUUAUAUAAAUUAUAUUAUACAAAAUCCAAAAACUACACGUUUAUAACAAACUUUAAAAAAGUUAUACACAAAAAGAUUGAAUGUAUAUGAUGACAAAACUGAAAAACCAAAUGAAAUCAUGUCAUAUACAAAUACAAAUCAAACAAAGAAUUGUUAGUUGCGAAUUAUAUAUAUAUAAACGUGACUAAUUAUACAAACUCAAAGUCAUCGCAUGUAAUUAAUGGUUAAUGUUAGUCGCGAGUGGUAAUUAUAGCAAACUAUAGCUAUGAAGCCUAUGAUGAGUAAUUAAGUAGUAUAAGUUUGUUUAAUUGCGUAAUUUUCCAAAAAAAAAAAACACGGCUAUUUGUGAUUCCUCCCUCACCCACCCACCCGGACAGAAGCCCGGUCCAGAUUCUUCCCGUUUUUCAAAAGCCCAAUGGAUUGGGCCGGUCAAAACCCGAUUUCGACCCAUCUGAUCUUCCCCAAAAUUAAGCAAACUGAAAUAUUACAAUAAGAAAGUUUUUUUGCUACAAUCACCAAAACCUUUCUUUUCUGCUCCAAAAUUCUUCAUUCUCUCUAUCACAAGCCUCAGUUUAGCCUGCUCAAUCUGCAUCAGUUGCUGAAUCAAAGGAGAAAAGAACAGAGGAUAGAAAGAAUCAGUCACCAAAAGAUGAAGACAACCAAAGGAGGCAAAGUCAUGAACCCUACCGAUGCUUAUCGCAAGGAGAUUCGCAAGCGAGAAUUGAAAAGGGUAAUUUUUUCUUAAUGCACUUCUUAUGAAUUAUCAAUCAAUCAGCUUCAGCUACACUUCAAUUAAGCUAGUUGGAAUUUGCUAAAAAAAUUCUAUAUUAGUUCAAUACGGGUUUUUGAACUUCAUAAUUAUAGCAAAAUCCCAUCGUGGCCCUUUUUUUUUUUUUUUUUUUUUUUUUUUUUUUUUUUUUUUUUUUUUUUUUUUUUUUUUUUUGUGUGUGUGUGUGUGUUGUAAACGUAGUUUUAUGGUUCAUUUCAAGUCCCACAUCGGUACUACAAAGUGCUAAUUGGGCAGCUUUGUCCAUCAAUUUGACAAAUGUGAAGAAAUUGACAUACAUGGCAUUUCUUUUGUCAUCUGCUGGGAUUAAGUGGCACUGUGCUCCUUGUGGUCUUAUGUUGUCUUUUACUGUGGAUUUACGUCCUUUCUUGCUUUCUGGGAGGUUUAUGGAAUUGUUGCACUCACUUGCUUUAAAGUUUCUAUUACAAAAUCAAGGAGAAUCCAGAGAUGAGAUGACUUAAUUAGUUUUAAAGGAAAGUCUGUUUAUUUAAAUUUGGUUUUGAUAGCUGUUAAUAAUGCUUGAUUCUUUGUGUUUUUAUGCUUCCACAGAACAAGAAAGAAAGGAAGAAGGUUAGAGAAGUGGGCAUCUUAAAGAAGGACCCGGAGCAACUAAAAGAUCAAAUUGAUAAAUUAGAAGUGAUGAGUAAGUUGCUGCACAUUUUACAAUUUGUAGUAUACCACUUGUUUAUCAAUCUAGGUAAGUUGGGUGUUGGACAUAUUAUGAGAUUGAUUAAGAUUUUGAAAGAGAGGAAGGACCAUCACGUGAUAUUCAGUGACAUAGAGAAAACAUAGAUCAAUGCCAAUGAAAGUCAUUUGGUGGAUGUUUGAGAAGAAAGGAAUUCAUAUUAAAUGUAUAAAUCAAAUGAUAAUAUGUAUAAAAGAAGUUGUGUGAGAAUAGUGAGAGGGUAUAUACCAGGAGUUUCCCUUAAUCAGAGUUUACAUCAAGGAUAUGCCAUGAGCCUCAAACUUGUUUACCCUUAUUAUAUAGGUCCACUGUAAUACUCGCAGUAACAACCCAUCAACGAACUUACCAAUACCAGUAAAGUUUAUCUUCUUCAUCUCAAAAUAUGCCAACGUCACUUUAACCUCAUCUUUGCUGUCAUCAACCACCAAGGCACCAACCCAACACCACCUUUCUACUAUCAGUGGCGAAUCUCCUCCACCUAAAAUUCCCAACCUUCAAAUCACCUCUUUGUAACUAAGAGAAAACCAAUCGGUCCUUCACCUCCAAAAAAUCCUCCAGUGAACCUGUAAGAAACCACCACCGAAACCUCCCCUUCUCCACUACCCUCUUUCAUUAAUUCCUUUCAUCCUCUCCAACCCCCCCGGUCCAUUAUGCCUCGACCCCAAGUUUCCUCACACCAGUAGCUCUUGGAGAUUUCUCCAUUAUCAAAAAAAUUAUACAUCAAAAUUCAAAUUGCGAUUAAAAUUAUUGUUUUAGAAACAAUUGUAUGAUAGUGACAGUUCUUAAGACAAAACUUACUUAAGCAUAUCAAAAUAAAAUUUUACAUAGGCCAACUAAAAUCAGAGGUCAUCUGAGAUGGUUUUGCUAUGUUACACUCUGAUCUUCAUAUGCACCCGUUCUAGAUGUGACAACUUGACUACUGAAGGUGAUUAAGAGGGAUGAGGUAGAUCUAAAAUUAUACUGGAAAAAAUAUCAAAGAUGUAUGACCUCUCAAAAUCAAUGCGAACUUAAAGGAUUCAUAUAGAGAAUGCCAACUACAACCAAUUGGGAUUAAGACUUAGUUGUUUUGUGGCAUUCACAUUAGGUCCUGUGCUUAUUAGAAGUCCUUGAUUUUGGUAGAGAUUUCAUAUUGAAUAGUGUAUGAUUUUGAAACUCUGGUUUUAGAUAAUUCCUAAUUUGUUUUGCAGGUUGGUUUUUCUAGUAUUUGAAUGAAAUGAACUCGAAUAGAGUGGGAUGCCAAGUCCAAUGUAUUAGGAUUGAGACUGAUUGAUAGGAUUGUGGUUCAUAUUAUCUGAGUGCUAAUGUUUCAUAAGGUCCUAGGUAAUACAGAAUGACUUACAAGCAACAAGAAGUAGUACUCUUAUUUAAUGUUACUUCAAUUGCAGAGCUUCUAUCUAAUACUCCUAGGUUGACAACCUUUUUGAUAAAUGGUAAUUGUUGCUUUCCGUGAAACUUUAAAGUUUUCUGGCUGGAGCUCUUCUCUGAUAACCAUGAAAGAAGUGUGGAUUUUUGGUAGCUCUUAUGAAGGGUUUAAGGACAUGCAUCAUUCUCAUGGAAUAAAAUGGCAUUAGAAUUAGUUAUAGGGCUGGCUAUCAAGAAAAAAAAGGAUAAGUACUUAGAGCUUGUAUUGUAAUCCAGAAUUUCAUUGAACUUUUUGUGCUUGUCUUAUUCUUAUUUUAAUAUGAAGAUAUCAACAUAUGCAGAGGCUGAGGGUGCACUAGAUAAAGCAAGGAAACAUAAAAAGAGACAACUUGAAGAUACACUUAAUCUUGUUCUCAAGAAAAGAAAGGUAAUGUUUCCCAUGUAAAAAUUUCAGAUACAUCUAUUCAAUACUUAAGGUAUCUCCUUGUUUAGCAAGUACUUCCAUUUGAGUUAUUUGAGAUCUUAUUUGAUAUCUAAUGUAACCAAAAGAGAAAAAAUAGAGUUCAUCUCUAGUUUCUUACAACUGGGGUGGUCAUGUCUGAAUCUUUUUUAUUUCACAAGUAGCUGGAUUCAUUAUUGAUCUAAAUUUAAUAGGUGCAACUCAUUUCUGCAUGGCUAGGUUCUAAUUUUCUGACAGAAAUGUAAAUGUUGGAAUAUUACUCAGGCGAAUUUUCAGGUCGAUUUUGGAGAGAGAAUUAGAGAUCUUUAGAUGAGAAAGAGGCUGUUAACUAGCUAAGAUGCAUUAGAUCAUAUUCUUCUACAAGUCUCAAAAUUUGCAGGGGGCUGAAGAUGUGUGGCAAUUUUAUUAGACUAAUGCUGUAUCCUCCAUCACCACCAUUUUGACAGUGUUGGUUUUUCCUUACCUUCUCCCUUUAUUCUGUACAGGUUAAUGAUAAAAUUCAGUUUAACCAUUUUUAAAAACCAAAAAGGAAAAUAUGUACAAUAAUAAUCAUGGUCUGGAGUAGGUUUAGACGUCAAAUGUGCCAUUUAGCUUGUAAGGAUUGUACUGGUGAUAUUAGUACUACUUGUCUUUCCUACUAAAGCUACUUGAUAAAGUUAGCAAAGUCUCAUGGAGUCAACAAGUGUUCUGGAUUCUUCUUGAAACUCCUGAUCCCCCCCCCCCCCCCCCCCNNNNNNNNNNNNNNNNNNNNNNNNNNNNNNNNNNNNNNNNNNNNNNNNNNNNNNNNNNNNNNNNNNNNNNNNNNNNNNNNNNNNNNNNNNNNNNNNNNNNNNNNNNNNNNNNNNNNNNNNNNNNNNNNNNNNNNNNNNNNNNNNNNNNNNNNNNNNNNNNNNNNNNNNNNNNNNNNNNNNNNNNNNNNNNNNNNNNNNNNNNNNNNNNNNNNNNNNNNNNNNNNNNNNNNNNNNNNNNNNNNCCCCCCCCCCCCCCCCCCAAUUGACAACAUGGGUUGAAAGAUAAGACUUCUCUGAAAUUACCAUUUGUUCCCUGCGUCUGAAGAUUAACCAGACUCUGCCUCUCACUGAUGUCUUGUUUUAACCAAUGAAUGCAAGAGUUGAUCACAUCAUCUUAGAUAUUUAAAGGAGGUAUCUGUCAUUCACCUAUUGCUCUUCGAAUCUCUUCAUUUUCCAGAACAAGUAUUUAGAAGGGUAAGCAGGUCUUUUUUUAUUUCAAUUCUCCAAAUAUAUCCCAAUGGUACUGUGUACUAACUAGUAAAAUUUGCCAUUUCAAGAAUGUAGAUACAAUCUGGGUCAUUCUAAUGUAGAAAGGACUUCUAACUUGUGAUGAAAGAGUAAUUAUUUUCACUAGGCUUGAGUCUUUGAAUAAUUGUUAGCAGAAAAUACAUCAUGGUAGGCCUGCUGCAAGUUUGGUGAUGAUAUCUCUCAUAGUUUAGCUGGUAGACUUCAGAGUUUACUUGGACUGUACAGGAAGUUAAGUGUACUCUCAAGUUAAAUUUAUUUUGCUGCUAUCUUUGUUUCUCAUGUUGUGAUGUUUAUGUUUACUUUAUCGUGGUUGCGACUGAUGAACGCAUCUAGUGAAAUUGCAUCAGCUUCUUUUCCUUUUGAUUUUAUAUUUUGAUUGGGAUGUUUUGUUGCUCACUGGCAUUGCUUUUUUGUUAGGAAUAUGAAGUGAAAAUGAAAGAAAAAGGUGAAGAGCCAGUAAUGUUUAGGUAACAGACGGCCUCUUGUUUAUCAUUAAUGCUGUUAGAAAUGGCCCUUUCUCUUUGAUACUUUUACAUGCUUUUUUUCUUGCUUUCUCUGCAGUCACCUGGGUCCCCCUCGAAGGCGUACGGCUGCAGAAGAGGAAGAAAGGAUCAAAGACCCUAAACCUGAAGUAAGAUCUUACUUCACUCUUCUUUUUUUACCCCCUCCCCCGGGAGCUCCCACCUUUUUGCUCCCUUGGUGUCUCGAACUCACAACCUUAAGGUUGGAAGUGAGGGGUGCUUACCAUCCGAGCAACUCUCUUUUGUCUAUCGUACUUCAGUCUUAUUUUUUAUGGAAGCGGUUUUUGCUGAUCCAUGAACAACAUGGCCUAUGUGGAUGCAGGACUCCGUUUAUUAUCACCCUACACUGAAUCCUACUGGAGCUCCUCCUCCUGGAAAACCUCCCAUGUUUAAAUCAUCAAUAGGUAUCUAUAGUUCUUUUUCUCAUCUUAAUUUCAUAUUGUUCUCUCUCUCUCAACUCCCUCUCCCCAGCUCUGAUAGUUCCUGCUUCAAACUACAGGACCUAGAAUACCAUCAUCAGCUGCAUCAUCGUCAAUGUCAGAUGCAGAAGAUGGCACUUUAUCAGCUCUUCCGCCACCGCCACCUCCACCUCCAUUGCCCCCAACUGGUGAUGUAGAUUCUGUAGAUGGGUCUGCGAUUCCUGCAUCUUUACCUUUACCUCCUCCACCGCCUAUGCCCCCAAAGCCUGCAAUGACAGACAUGGGUGCUUCAUUGCCAUUACCUCCUUUGCCCCCACCGCCUCCUGGCCCCCCACCAAAGGAACUGAUCUCUGGCCAUCUUCCACUUCCUCCACCUCCUCCCCGACCUCUUCAUCAAUCUGCUCAACUUCCUCAUUCUGGCAUAGGUGGAAAUGAAAGGGAUAAAAAUCUUUCUGAAUUGGAUGAGAGGUCCGCAACAGAGCAAAAUCAGGUAUACUUCUUAUUAAUAAGAUAUUUGGGACAUUUGUAUAAAUGAUUUAUGUACGGUUUCUAGUCCUUGGCCCUAAAGUUAUUCACGAUCUUGUUAACUUUUCAGGCCUCAUCCAUGUUUCCCCCACCACCUCCUCCACCAGGGUUGCCUUUGAAGUCAGAUGGCAUGCCUGCUGACUCUGAUGCUAAAGUUUUGGAAACAAAAGAUCAUCUUAAGUUACCUCCACCACCUCCACGGCACCCUUCAGGUCUUGGACCUGCCAUGGUCCCAACUUUUCAGCCUGAUGUAUUACCUCCUGGAAUAUCUCGGUUCCCUCCACCCCCGCCUCCAACUGAUAUGCGGCCACCACCUGGAAUUGCUAUCCAGCCUGCUCCUCCUGGAAUGAUGGUCCCUCUCUUGCCAAGACCACCUUUUGGACCUCCACUAAUGAUGAGACCACCGCUUCCACCUGGUCCACCUCCUUUUCAACAGGAUGGUGCUAGACUGCUUGCUCCUCAAAAGCCAUCAUAUGUCAAAUCAGCUGCUUCAACAGUUGUUAAGAGGCCUCUAGCUCAGCAUACACCAGAACUUACAUCAAUGGUGAGUGAUCUUCCUUUAUUUUUACUACCUAAUUGUUGUCCUCCUGCACUUAUUUACAUCAACUGUUAAGUAUUCUUUAGCAUCAUUUCAAUGCAAACCUAAUAUAUUAGAUUGGAGUGUUAUCCCCAUCCAAAUUGUGGAUGAAAUCAAGGGGAUUAUGGGCAAGUUCAAAUCUUUGUCCAAAGUUUGCUAGGAGGGUUAAGCACUGUAUAGCAUGCUAGUUAUAUACUUUAAUUGUUUGGCCUAAUAUUUUUUAGAAGUUUGUACCAAAACAUCCCUGGUCAAGUUUAAAUUUCGUAGGUGCAAAUUUCUGUAACACUAGGCUCUUAUUAAUUUUUUCACCCUACAACACCUUGAAGAUAUAUUUUUUUUCACCAGCAAAAGUCAAAUCAAAAACAUCAGAAAAUAGAAAAAAAUAAAUCAAAAGAUGGAACUAUGAAGUAGAAAAUAAUACAAUUAAAAAAAAAAAGAAUCGUACAACCACAGUACAGAAAGUGACAAAAGUGAACACGAAAAGAAAACAGCCAAAAAAUGAAAAUAAAGAACUCAAGAAAGAAAAAGAUGUAAACCUAAGUGGAUUGGAUGGAGGUGUGUGUUGUCAUCAGGAGGCUAAAGAGGACACAUCAGGGUUCGAGGUGAGGAUGUAUCCACUUUAUUCAUUUAAAAUUAAAAAAUUGUUGAAG
This 38753-nucleotide long non-coding RNA is filed under the name Solanum tuberosum (potato). RNAcentral describes it as "long non-coding RNA (STUB_LNC006787)". Lineage: Eukaryota; Viridiplantae; Streptophyta; Magnoliopsida; Solanales; Solanaceae. The record is from RNAcentral.